Oryctolagus cuniculus (rabbit) is the source of this 200-nucleotide non-coding RNA. Lineage: Eukaryota; Metazoa; Chordata; Mammalia; Lagomorpha; Leporidae. The record is from RefSeq and is a predicted model, not a curated record.
UGUGCAUGGCUGUGUGACGUGUGCCUGACACCAAGGUAGGGUGUGUGCAUGGCUGUGUGACACCAAGGUGAGGGCGCGUGCACGGCUGUGUGACGUGUGCCUGACACCAAGGUAGGGUGUGUGCAUGGCUGUGUGACGUGUGCCCGACACCAAGGUGAGGGUGUGUGCACGGCUGUGUGACAUGUGCCCGACACCAAGGU